GACGAACGCUGGCGGCGUGCUUAACACAUGCAAGUCGAACGGAAAGGCCCUGCUUGCCGGGUACUCGAGUGGCGAACGGGUGAGUAACACGUGGGUGAUCUGCCCUGCACUUCGGGAUAAGCCUGGGAAACUGGGUCUAAUACCGGAUAGGAGCCCUUUUUAGUGUGAUGGUUGGAAAGUUUUUUCGGUGUAGGAUGAGCUCGCGGCCUAUCAGCUUGUUGGUGGGGUAAUGGCCUACCAAGGCGGCGACGGGUAGCCGGCCUGAGAGGGUGGACGGCCACAUUGGGACUGAGAUACGGCCCAGACUCCUACGGGAGGCAGCAGUGGGGAAUAUUGCACAAUGGGCGCAAGCCUGAUGCAGCGACGCCGCGUGGGGGAUGACGGCCUUCGGGUUGUAAACUCCUUUCGCUAGGGACGAAGCUUUUGUGACGGUACCUAGAUAAGAAGCACCGGCUAACUACGUG
This 464-nucleotide ribosomal RNA is filed under the name uncultured bacterium. RNAcentral describes it as "partial 16S ribosomal RNA". It matches the Rfam family "Bacterial small subunit ribosomal RNA", at positions 28 to 507 of the family's 1533-position model. The record is from RNAcentral.